This is a non-coding RNA of Oryza sativa Japonica Group (Japanese rice), 1343 nucleotides long. The record is from RefSeq and is a predicted model, not a curated record. NCBI's taxonomy places the organism in Eukaryota, Viridiplantae, Streptophyta, Magnoliopsida, Poales, Poaceae.
GCAGUGGCUGAAGAAGCAGCAGUGGCUGAUCAAGAGGAUGACCAGCUUGGAGGUGAUCUCCACGGAGGUGCCAUCCAUGUGCUUCCUUUUGAUAUCAACUUGUAUGCAUCUGACCAUCAAGGAGAAAUACAUCCAGGUGACAAACUACCAAAGUUGAGAGGAAAUAUACAUGAAGGUGGAGGAGAAUCAAACUCGUAUCCGAACUUAUGGAGUUUUGGACCCAGAAACCCAAUUAAACACCUCCAAAUGGACCAAACAUUCAUACCAAUGGAUUUAGGGGCCUAAAAUGAGUGUCCAGGCCGAAAACCGAAGCGAACGGAGCCGUCCCAGGUUCGGCCGAACCCUGAGUACGGAUGAACCCUCACGAAGGCCGUUGGCCCAGGCCAAAGUUGCGUUUGGUAGCAAUCCGCUUACCAAUGACGGUUAUGGCCAUUUUCACCGGUAGAAACCGUCAUAACAUGGACACUUGACAACACAAGAGAGAAGAUGCUCUUUGGAUGCUUGGAGGAUCUCCACUCUCUCAAGUCACCUCCACACUAUAAAUACCCCUCUCCUCCCUCAUUCUCACACACACCAAAGCAUGAGCUGAAUUAUAAGAGGCUCUAGUAUACUUUAUUGUAUAUUAGAUUAGGGAGAGAGUAAGGUAGAAGAAAUCGGAGGAAUUACGGAGUUGUCGGUAAUCUUCUCUUAAUUCUGUAUCUUGUUAAUUACUUUGCUUUAAUAGAAAUAUCAUUCUGAGUAAUUAAGAUUUACUUAGUGAGAAUUACUUUUUGGUUAGUUCCUAAUUAGCGUACAGGAUCAUUGUUCACUAUAGUUUAUUAAUUUAUAGUGAUUGCUUUAGUGUUUGAUCGGCACUAGAGUAGUUAUUAAUUGCGUAGACGCGGUGUCUAGGUAAUUAAUUUCCAGUGGUUGCUGCGUAUCCCACAGUACGUUUGAGGUGGGUGUAGAGGUGGUGACAGCCCUCAAGAGAACUUAAGUCCUCCCUGUCCAGGUACGUAAUAGAGCAACAUCUGGAAACAGCGGGUUGCCAGUGCCUGAAGUAUUGCGUUAGGAUUAAAAUUAAGCUUUCCCUAGACACUGUUUCUUAUUAGGAAAUCCUCUAUGCCCUCUGCCCACAUUAGCUUUGUGUCCUUGGAUGAACCUGACGAUGAGUUGAACUCACACGUUCCCUAUGGAAAUCGAUACUCUGGAAUACUCCCAGACGAUGCCGAUGCCAUGGAUCAAGUUCUGCAAGUAAAUGGAGGUCACAACCAUAAUGCCUUUCCUUUUGAUCUCAACUUUGAUGCCGAUGAGGAAGACCUACAAAUGCAUCCAGACAUGCAAGAGUAUGGCGUGUAUGCGGG